CCUACGGGAGACAGCAGUGGGGAAUAUUGCACAAUGGGCGCAAGCCUGAUGCAGCCAUGCCGCGUGUAUGAUGAAGGCCUUCGGGUUGUAAACUACUUUCAGCGGGGAGGAACGGAGUCAGUUUAAUACCUUUGCUAAUUGACGGUACCUGCAGAGGAAGCACCGGCUAACUCCGUGCCAGCAGCCGCGGUAAUACGGAGGGUGCAAGCGUUAAUCGGAAUUACUGGGCGUAAAGCGCACGUAGGCGGUUUGUUAAGUCAGAUGUGAAAUCCCCGGGCUCAACGUGGGAACUGCCUGUGAAACUGGCAAGCUGGAGGGUGGGAGAGGGUGGUGGAAUUGCAGGGGUAGGGGGGAAAUGCGGAGAUAUCUGGAGGAACACCAGGGGCGAAGGCGACCAUCUGGAACAAAACUGACGCUGAGGAGCGAAAGCGUGGGUAGCAAACAGGAAUAGAUACCCCAGUAGUC
RNAcentral lists this ribosomal RNA (465 nucleotides) under uncultured bacterium. Its description in RNAcentral is "partial 16S ribosomal RNA". It matches the Rfam family "Bacterial small subunit ribosomal RNA", at positions 338 to 795 of the family's 1533-position model. The record is from RNAcentral.